This is a long non-coding RNA of Gasterosteus aculeatus aculeatus (three-spined stickleback), 1032 nucleotides long. Lineage: Eukaryota; Metazoa; Chordata; Actinopteri; Perciformes; Gasterosteidae. The record is from Ensembl.
AGUCUCCGUUCAUGUCUCUAAUGUCAAAGUCCCAGAAAGCGUCUGUUUUCACUCGAAACGAAAUACUGAUAGCGUGGAUUCAUGUUGUGACAGAUGUUCUCAUCAUACAUCAGGGAGUCACCUGAACUUCAUUUGACGCCACAGAGGAGCUGAUGUCGCCCGUAGCGGCGGCGGAUCCCUUGUUUCAGUCGGGUGCUGUUUGGGUGACGACGAGUCAGCAGGCCGAUCCCCACGUGUGAACGACCACAGGGGAAAACGCACGAAUGUGUUUCCAACUAAAACGUCCCUCGUUCCACGGAUUAUUCUGUAAAUUAUAGACAGACACAUAAAGAGAUUAAAUCCAGAUUAGUUAAUUACGCGUCACAUGAGCGCUUCAAUCUACCAAAACACACCAAACAGGAUCGAGCUUAAUGUUACACUUCAUUUGUUUCCAUGUUUCCUGAAGAGAACCAGUUAUUGAGACGCAUCAUGCGAGUACACUGAAAAGUCUACAGACAAGUUCUACCUGAGAAUAAAGCGCUCAAUCAACUCAAACCUUCCCUACAAUUAAUACGGUUUAGAACGAAUGCAAAGAGAAAACCACUGUUGGACUUGCAGAAGAAGUAAAGUUGAUUGAAAUGCAGAACGUUUGUGUUUGUUCUGCAUUUGAUGUUGUUGUUGUUUUGUGUAACAUGAAGCCAUUAAUUCAGUCUGGUGUCAGGAAACUGUACAUUUAUAUUUAUUUAAAUCUUAAAAGUAUCAUUUCUACUGUUUGGACAAAUGACCCAACACAUGGAAACACUGUAAUGAAACCUAAAGGCCUAAAUGACACGCGUGUAUGAAUCAAUAAAUCCUUCCCUGCAUUAUUGAACUUGUUCUCCAGUGAUGAAGCCUUUGACUGUAUUUAACCUCAUCGUUCCCAGCGUCUGCUGAAGCUCUGCCUGCUUACAUCGACACUCAAAGGCCGUUGCCGUCUUCUGGAGGCGACAUCUUUGGCAGUAUUGCAAAAUAAAACAGGAAACUGUACCAAAAGAUGUGAUUAAAGAUGCUGAU